GCUGGCCCACUACCUGGCACCGCAAAGAGUAGCCCCCACAGGGCUGGCCUUUUUCUUUUACGAAGGACCCAGCCAUGUGAUGUCACUAUCCUCACACAAUCCUGUGGCCUGGCAUCAGUUUACAGAAGACAGUUUGGAUCAUCACAGGGCAGGACCUGGGGGAAAGGUCAUGUGUGGCCUCCUGGAUUCCCUUUAUCAGCCCUGUGCAGAGGAGCUCUCCGGACCAAGCCGCUUCUCUGUUUUUGUACCAGUCCCUGUAACAGGCUUCUGUGAGGUGGGAGCAGCUGAGGAUUGCAGUUUCCUUCAAGGCCUAAUGAGGUGAAAGGGGCCUGGGGGUGAUUCAGGUCAGUGUGCUUGGAGCGUGUUCAUCUUCCAGGAGAGAAUUAUAUGAACAGUCACCUCAGGUUUCCUUUGUAGACACGCUCUAAGGUGUGUUUAAGUUUGCGUGGCUAAAGCCUGUUGGGGCACAGGCUGGAGCCCAGUCCAGAGCUCCCUGCAGCCGCCUGAAAGCAGGUCUCUUAAUGGCGUCUCUGGGUGGGUGACAGCUGAGCCCUUCACAGACUGGCUAGAUCAUUGUCCACGUCCUCAUGGUACUCUGUGUCCUCAGAACCACACAGGUUAUUUAACUGAAGGCUGUAAGAUCU
Molecule: long non-coding RNA, 644 nt
Filed under: Homo sapiens (human)
Lineage: Eukaryota; Metazoa; Chordata; Mammalia; Primates; Hominidae
Description: HSALNT0257955
Source: RNAcentral